AAGUUGAGUGGCGAACGGGUGAGUAACACGUGGGCAACCUGCCCAAAAGAGGGGGAUAACACUUGGAAACAGGUGCUAAUACCGCAUAACCAUAGUUACCGCAUGGUAACUAUGUAAAAGGUGGCUAUACUACCGCUUUUGGAUGGGCCCGCGGCGCAUUAGCUAGUUGGUAGGGUAAAGGCUUACCAAGGCAAUGAUGCGUAGCCGAAUUGAGGGGUUGAUCGGCCACAUUGGGACUGAGACACGGCCCAAACUCCUACGGGAGGCAGCAG
This 272-nucleotide ribosomal RNA is filed under the name uncultured bacterium. RNAcentral describes it as "partial 16S ribosomal RNA". It matches the Rfam family "Bacterial small subunit ribosomal RNA", at positions 88 to 354 of the family's 1533-position model. The record is from RNAcentral.